AGUACGCACGCAAGUGUGAAACUCAAAGGAAUUGACGGGGGCCCGCACGAGCGGUGGAGUAUGUGGUUUAAUUCGAUGCAACGCGAAGAACCUUACCAGGGCUUGACAUCCCUCGAAUCCUCUUGAAAGAGAGGAGUGCCUUCGGGAGCGAGGAGACAGGUGGUGCAUGGCUGUCGUCAGCUCGUGUCGUGAGAUGUUGGGUUAAGUCCCGCAACGAGCGCAACCCACGUCCUUAGUUGCCAUCAUUAAGUUGGGCACUCUGGGGAGACUGCCGGGGACAACUCGGAGGAAGGUGUGGAUGACGUCAAGUCAUCAUGCCCCUUACGUUCUGGGCUACACACGUACUACAAUGCUUCGGACAAAGAGCAGCCAACUAGCGAUAGUGAGCUAAUCUCAUAAACCGAGGCACAGUUCAGAUUGCAGGCUGCAACUCGCCUGCAUGGAGGAGGAAUCGCUAGUAAUCGCCGGUCAGCAUACGGCGGUGAAUACGUUCCCGGGCCUUGUACACACCGCCCGUCACACCAUGGGAGUUGGCC
Molecule: ribosomal RNA, 536 nt
Filed under: uncultured bacterium
Lineage: Bacteria
Description: bacterial SSU rRNA
Rfam family: Bacterial small subunit ribosomal RNA
Source: RNAcentral